GCGCCGGUGGUGUAAGGCGAACAUCGCUGCCCGGAAAGCAGAGGAUGCGGGUUCGAGUCCCGCCUGGCGCA
Molecule: non-coding RNA, 71 nt
Organism: Heligmosomoides polygyrus
Lineage: Eukaryota; Metazoa; Nematoda; Chromadorea; Rhabditida; Heligmosomidae
Source: Rfam